AGAGUUUGAUCAUGGCUCAGAGCGAACGCUGGCGGCAGGCCUAACACAUGCAAGUCGAGCGCCCCGCAAGGGGAGCGGCAGACGGGAGAGUAACACGUGGGAACGUACCCUUCAGUUCGGAACAACCAAGGGAAACUUUGGCUAAUACCGAAUACGUCCGUAAGGAGAAAGAUUUAUCGCUGAAGGAUCGGCCCGCGUCUGAUUAGCUAGUUGGUGGGGUAAUGGCUCACCAAGGCGACGAUCGGUAGCUGGUCUGAGAGGACGAUCAGCCACACUGGGACUGAGACACGGCCCAGACUCCUACGGGAGGCAGCAGUGGGGAAUCUUGCGCAAUGGGCGAAAGCCUGACGCAGCGACGCCGUGUGCGGGAAGAAGGCCUUCGGGUUGUAAACCGCUUUCAGGAGGGACGAAGCCACUCAGGUUAAUAGCCGAGAGGGUGACGGUACCUCCAGAAGAAGCCCCGGCUAACUACGUGCCAGCAGCGGCGGUAAUAC
Molecule: ribosomal RNA, 494 nt
Filed under: uncultured bacterium
Lineage: Bacteria
Description: bacterial SSU rRNA
Rfam family: Bacterial small subunit ribosomal RNA
Source: RNAcentral